GCACCCGUAGCUCAGUUGGAUAGAGCGCUAGCCUCCGAAGCUAGAGGUCACAGGUUCGAAUCCUGUCGGGUGCGCCA
This 77-nucleotide transfer RNA is filed under the name Rhodobacterales bacterium. Its description in RNAcentral is "tRNA-Arg". It matches the Rfam family "tRNA". From Rfam's summary of the family: Transfer RNA (tRNA) molecules are approximately 80 nucleotides in length. Their secondary structure includes four short double-helical elements and three loops (D, anti-codon, and T loops). Further hydrogen bonds mediate the characteristic L-shaped molecular structure. tRNAs have two regions of fundamental functional importance: the anti-codon, which is responsible for specific mRNA codon recognition, and the 3' end, to which the tRNAs corresponding amino acid is attached (by aminoacyl-tRNA synthetases). tRNAs cope with the degeneracy of the genetic code in two manners: having more than one tRNA (with a specific anti-codon) for a particular amino acid; and 'wobble' base-pairing, i.e. permitting non-standard base-pairing at the 3rd anti-codon position. The record is from RNAcentral. Lineage: Bacteria; Pseudomonadati; Pseudomonadota; Alphaproteobacteria; Rhodobacterales.